UGGAUACUGUGAGAUAGCGUCUGUGGAAACACGGCUAGUUCUCUAGAAUGAGAAAUGCAACCUUAAUUGAAAAGCCUUUUGCGGAAGCAGUUGUGGACCCAAAUGAUUUCAAAAACAUUUUAAAUCUUUACUUGAUUCAGAAGAUUGAUUAAGUACAUGCAAAGCAUCUAUAAGAGCAUACUGGAGGGAAAACCUGUUUAUUCC
This 204-nucleotide long non-coding RNA is filed under the name Olea europaea (common olive). Its description in RNAcentral is "long non-coding RNA (OEUR_LNC009613)". Lineage: Eukaryota; Viridiplantae; Streptophyta; Magnoliopsida; Lamiales; Oleaceae. The record is from RNAcentral.